Acanthosepion pharaonis is the source of this 113-nucleotide non-coding RNA. The record is from the annotation of a GenBank genome assembly. Lineage: Eukaryota; Metazoa; Mollusca; Cephalopoda; Sepiida; Sepiidae.
UAUGGCCACAUCAUGUUGAAACACCAGUUUCGUUACGAUCACCGAUGUUAAGCAACGCUGAGCCUGGUCCAGACCUAGAUGGGUGACCACUUGGGAAUUACAGGUGCUGCAAU